RNAcentral lists this ribosomal RNA (375 nucleotides) under uncultured bacterium. Its description in RNAcentral is "bacterial SSU rRNA". It matches the Rfam family "Bacterial small subunit ribosomal RNA", at positions 135 to 507 of the family's 1533-position model. The record is from RNAcentral.
CGUGGGGGAUAACGUAGCGAAAGCUACGCUAAUACCGCAUACGAUCUAUGGAUGAAAGCGGGGGAUCGCAAGACCUCGCGCGAUUGGAGCGGCCGAUAUCAGAUUAGGUAGUUGGUGAGGUAAAGGCUCACCAAGCCGACGAUCUGUAGCUGGUCUGAGAGGACGACCAGCCACACUGGGACUGAGACACGGCCCAGACUCCUACGGGAGGCAGCAGUGGGAAUUUUGGACAAUGGGCGCAAGCCUGAUCCAGCAAUGCCGCGUGCAGGAUGAAGGCCUUCGGGUUGUAAACUGCUUUGUACGGAACGAAACGGUGAGCUCUAAUACAGUUUGCUAAUGACGGUACCGUAAGAAUAAGCACCGGCUAACUACGUG